AAUGGCCACCUGCUCUUGAAGACCCACAUUCACACAGUUGGAUAAGGAGUCUCCCCUUUUGAGCAGGGGUAACAGGAGGAGAACAAGAGAAAAGAAUCCACGGUCUUGCUCUGGAGGGGGUGUUCUGGGGACUAGUUCUAUGUGCUUGAAAAAGAAAGGAGGAGCUGGAGGGAGAAGAGGAGAAAAAGCUGUGCACUUUGUCCCUUGUACCCAGCUUUGCUCUGGAUAAACAGGACCUGCCCUUGACUACCUCUGUCCACCGUCAGGAGGGAGAUCAGUUUUCGGCGGACACAACAUCUUUUUUUGUAUGUGGUGCUGAGGAUCGAACCUGGGCCGCAGGCAUGCCAGGCGCACGCAUGUGGCGCUUGAGCCACAUCCCCAGCCCGUUUGCACCUGAGAUGGGUGUGACUUGCCAAGAUGUCAGUCAAUCUGCGGACCACAAGACAUCACGAACCUAGACUCAACCCCCUGAAACCCGACCCCUUGCCUCAUUUGGGUGGAAAUUUCUCCAGUGACUUCCCCUCGUUCAUUUUCCUGAUGGCUGCUGGCUAAGAUUCAUUAUUCGGAACAAUUAGCAAGUUGGAGAGUCUCGCUGGAGGCUGUCGUCUCAAGAAAGUAACAAAUCUUGCCUCUACACAUUUUGCUCUGGAGCCUCUUGGUUAUUUUUUUAAAACCUCAUCUUUUAGUUCCCCUCAGGGAUUCUAAUGAAGAUAUCAGCCAUCUGUUAAGUAAAGGGAAUAAGGGACUGGAGCACAAAAAUAUCAACACCAGGAACAAUCUGUAUAUUUGUUUGUAGUUGAUGAGCACCAGCUCCAACUGCAAAAUAAUGAAGAACUUCACUAAAUGUUUCACUUUUUGCCCCUAAAAAAAAUGACUUAUGUACAAACCAUAUCCAAAAAUAAAGAAAAAUUUAACCUGA
Marmota monax (woodchuck) is the source of this 919-nucleotide long non-coding RNA. RefSeq lists it as uncharacterized. NCBI's taxonomy places the organism in Eukaryota, Metazoa, Chordata, Mammalia, Rodentia, Sciuridae. The transcript is spliced from 4 exons. The record is from RefSeq and is a predicted model, not a curated record.